This 465-nucleotide ribosomal RNA is filed under the name uncultured bacterium. Its description in RNAcentral is "partial 16S ribosomal RNA". It matches the Rfam family "Bacterial small subunit ribosomal RNA", at positions 338 to 795 of the family's 1533-position model. The record is from RNAcentral.
CCUACGGGGUGCUGCAGUGGGGAAUAUUGCGCAAUGGGCGAAAGCCUGACGCAGCGACGCCGCGUGAGGGAUGAAGGUCUUCGGAUCGUUAACCUCUGUCAGCAGGGAAGAACGGUCACUGUGCUAAUCAGCAGUGAAUUGACGGUACCUGCAAAGGAAGCACCGGCUAACUCCGUGCCAGCAGCCGCGGUAAUACGGAGGGUGCGAGCGUUAAUCGGAAUUACUGGGCGUAAAGCGCUCGUAGGCGGUAUGUCAAGUCAAGGGUGAAAUCCCCGCGCUCAACGUGGGAACUGCCUUUGAAACUGGCAAACUGGAGUGUGUGAGAGGAUAGUGGAAUUCCAGGUGUAGGAGUGAAAUCCGUAGAUAUCUGGAGGAACAUCAGUGGCGAAGGCGACUAUCUGGCACAUAACUGACGCUGAGGAGCGAAAGCGUGGGUAGCAAACAGGAUUAGAUACCCCUGUAGUC